Molecule: long non-coding RNA, 1155 nt
Organism: Solanum dulcamara
Lineage: Eukaryota; Viridiplantae; Streptophyta; Magnoliopsida; Solanales; Solanaceae
Exons: 4
Source: RefSeq, a predicted model, not a curated record
GUAGAAAAAGAAAAUUAUACUCGAGUUUUCUUUUCCUCAAAAUUUAAGACUGUCAAGUAAUAAAGACCGUCCUUCCUUGGCAGUCCAUAAAGAGGAAGAAAUGAAGAUUACAUGUUUGUUUCCUUAGGUAUAUUGAAGCGCUGGCCGGUGCAACACAAGAAUGUUGUCUUAGAUAACUACCCCAGCCCCAUAUUAUUCAUGUAAAAUGCUUUGUUACCUUCAAAAACUUCAUAAUCAUGAUGUGUUCACGAGAUAUGGAUAGACUGUUGCGUGAUGAUAUUUGUAAUUGUGAUCCAUCAUAGUUGUGAUAUUUGGUUUCCCUUGAAUAAAUUCUUCUGACAGUUUUCUACUUUGCAGCACAUAUUCCUUUUUUCUUUUACCCCUUUCUUAAUACAACAAGCUUUUGAAUAUUUGAGGCUUACAAGCUUAGGUGUCAUUGGUGCCCUCGUGAAGCUUAAAUGCCCAAGUUUUAGGGGUCGAUACACUUGCUGAACAACCUUCAUAAAGAUUGCUGAAAUACAUAAUCCAAGGGCAUGUAAUGCACUGAGAAUUUGUCCCGAUAUGCUUAGAGAUAAUACCUUCUGCAGUUCUCUUCGUGAGGAUCCAACGACAAGGAGUUGGCUACAACAGUUGCUCCAUAACGUUAAUGGGAAUAUUUCUUUUCUGCCAUUAGUGAUAUAUUGCACCAGCCAAGGACAUUCGAUAUAUCUCAUUCUGACCCUUGACACCUCUUGCAUAUGUUGCUGCCUGUUGCACCAUCCAUACUUUAGCAGAAAACACUCAGUCGAAAAAUAAGUGAUUGCGGCUCUCAGACAUAAUAUUGCACAAGGGGAAAUCAUUACUACCUACCAAGCCUCAUUUUGCCAAACGAUCUCGAGUCAAGAGUCCUCGUUAUUAUAAAUAUCUAUUUAGGACAAGCCUGGUCAUUGCAUUGUUAGCUUUCUCCAUUCCACUAUGAUGAAGUCUCCUCUCAUCUCUUUGUAAAGUUUCUUGAUAGAGAACUUGGAGAUCGAGAGCAAAUAUGUAAAGCCCCAUAAGUUGUUGGAAGCGUAGUGGACCAAAAUAAUAUUUUAUUACACAAGGAGCAAAAUAUUACACACACAAAAUAAAACUCUCAUAACUUUCUCAUAUUAGGUGCUUUGGCACUUCACUUUU